GCGCCUGUAGCUCAGUUGGAUAGAGUAUCGGCCUCCGAAGCCGAGGGUCGCAGGUUCGAAUCCUGCCGGGCGCGCCA
RNAcentral lists this transfer RNA (77 nucleotides) under Halomonas sp. RNAcentral describes it as "tRNA-Arg". It matches the Rfam family "tRNA". From Rfam's summary of the family: Transfer RNA (tRNA) molecules are approximately 80 nucleotides in length. Their secondary structure includes four short double-helical elements and three loops (D, anti-codon, and T loops). The record is from RNAcentral. Lineage: Bacteria; Pseudomonadati; Pseudomonadota; Gammaproteobacteria; Oceanospirillales; Halomonadaceae.